GACGAACGCUGGCGGCGUGCUUAACACAUGCAAGUCGAACGGUGAAGCGCCUUCCUUUUUGGUGGGUGUGGAUGAGUGGCGAACGGGUGAGUAACACGUGAGUAACCUGCCCCCUUCUUCUGGAUAACCGCAUGAAAGUGUGGCUAAUACGGGAUAUUCUGGGUCUGUCGCAUGAUGGGUCUGGGAAAGAUAUUGUUUCGGUGGGGGAUGGGCUCGCGGCCUAUCAGCUUGUUGGUGGGGUGAUGGCCUACCAAGGCGGUGACGGGUAGCCGGCCUGAGAGGGUGGACGGUAACACGGGGACUGAGACACGGCCCAGACUCCUGCGGGAGGCAGCAGUGGGGAAUAUUGCACAAUGGGAGCAAGGCUGAUGCAGCGACGCCGCGUGAGGGAUGGAGGCCUGCGGGUUGUGAACCUCUUUCGCCAGUGAAGCAGGCCUGCCUCGUUUGUGGGUGGGUUGACGGUAGCUGGAUAAGAAGCGCCGGCUAACUACGUG
RNAcentral lists this ribosomal RNA (494 nucleotides) under uncultured bacterium. RNAcentral describes it as "partial 16S ribosomal RNA". It matches the Rfam family "Bacterial small subunit ribosomal RNA", at positions 28 to 507 of the family's 1533-position model. The record is from RNAcentral.